GCCGGUAUAGUUCAGUGGUAAAACAUCCAUGGUGGGGUCUCUGACUCUGCGGGAUUGGAAGGCUCUCGUUCGAUUCGGGAUGCUGGCC
Lophiostoma macrostomum CBS 122681 is the source of this 88-nucleotide non-coding RNA. Lineage: Eukaryota; Fungi; Ascomycota; Dothideomycetes; Pleosporales; Lophiostomataceae. The record is from the annotation of a GenBank genome assembly.